UUCGUCGCGUAGUUGUGGGGACAUGAUCCUUCCACAGUGAUACUUAUUGAAGCCUUUGCAGCCUCGCAAGAGGUCUGCAUCCCCCGACAGAAAACAAUGGGAUGCUCCGCGGCGCCAUGCUGCGUGCAAGUCGGCCCUGGAGCCGGCGACACUUUCGAAUUGCGGGGACACCCUAAAGCCUCACUCUACCAACACGCCUGGGAAACCCGGCGUGGGCCCCUGUUAAUCGCAGGGGAGACGGUCACAAGGAGUAGGAUGACACAAUGGGCAAUCCGCAGCCAAGGUCCUACGGCGCCUGCUGGGCGCUAUGGAACAGGUUCACAGACUAGGUGGAAGUGGGUGGAGCGUACGCUCUGCUUAAGAUAUAGUCGGGCUUCCAGGGAAACCUGGGAGGGAAAUCACUGCAUCCCAACCGUUCCGUAGGUGAACCUGCGGAAGGAUCAUUA
Molecule: ribosomal RNA, 446 nt
Filed under: Caliciopsis orientalis
Lineage: Eukaryota; Fungi; Ascomycota; Eurotiomycetes; Coryneliales; Coryneliaceae
Description: partial 18S ribosomal RNA
Rfam family: Group I catalytic intron (bases 32-392)
About the family: Group I catalytic introns are large self-splicing ribozymes.
Source: RNAcentral